UUGAUCAAUUUCAUACCAAAACACAUGGUGAUGGUCCAUUUCACUGAUUAAUCUCAUAACACAUCACAUCUCAAGGCCCCUAGAGAUACCUUCCACAAGACCAUGUCAUCGUGUAGCACUUAGCCCCUGAGUGGUAUAUAUGAAAUUAUAUACAAGUUGUUUUAUUUUAACAAACUUUAUAUAAUUCAGAAAAUUCUCAUUAAAAUAAUUAUAAAUAUCAAUGGUCAAGUCCA
Molecule: long non-coding RNA, 233 nt
Filed under: Eucalyptus grandis
Lineage: Eukaryota; Viridiplantae; Streptophyta; Magnoliopsida; Myrtales; Myrtaceae
Description: long non-coding RNA (EGRA_LNC005646)
Source: RNAcentral